RNAcentral lists this ribosomal RNA (909 nucleotides) under Aschersonia cf. badia BCC 7016. RNAcentral describes it as "eukaryotic LSU rRNA". It matches the Rfam family "Eukaryotic large subunit ribosomal RNA", at positions 41 to 958 of the family's 3401-position model. The record is from RNAcentral. Lineage: Eukaryota; Fungi; Ascomycota; Sordariomycetes; Hypocreales; Clavicipitaceae.
UAUCAAUAAGCGGAGGAAAAGAAACCAACAGGGAUUGCCCCAGUAACGGCGAGUGAAGCGGCAACAGCUCAAAUUUGAAAUCUGGCCCCUCCCCCCGGGGGGUGCCCGAGUUGUAAUUUGCAGAGGAUGCUUCUGGCGAGGUGCCUUCCGAGUUCCCUGGAACGGGACGCCGCAGAGGGUGAGAGCCCCGUCUGGUCGGACAACCGAGCCUCUGUGAAGCUCCUUCGACGAGUCGAGUAGUUUGGGAAUGCUGCUCUAAAUGGGAGGUAUAUGUCUUCUAAAGCUAAAUACCGGCCAGAGACCGAUAGCGCACAAGUAGAGUGAUCGAAAGAUGAAAAGCACUUUGAAAAGAGGGUUAAACAGUACGUGAAAUUGUUGAAAGGGAAGCGCUCAUGACCAGACCUGGUCCCGGCGAAUCACCCGGCGUUCUCGCCGGUGCACUUCGACGGGCUUCCAGGCCAGCAUCAGUCCGCGCCGGGGGACAAAGGCGGCGGGAACGUGGCUCCCCAGGGAGUGUUAUAGCCCGCCGCGCAAUGCCCCGGGGGCGGACUGAGGCCCGCGCGUCACCGCAAGGAUGCUGGCGUAAUGGUCAUCAGCGACCCGUCUUGAAACACGGACCAAGGAGUCGUCCUCGUAUGCGAGUGUUGGGGCGUCAAACCCCCCGCGCGUAAUGAAAGUGAACGGCAGGUGAGAGCCCUCGCGGGCGCAUCAUCGACCGAUCCUGAUGUUCUCGGAUGGAUUUGAGUAGGAGCAUACGGGGCCGGACCCGAAAGAAGGUGAACUAUGCCUGUGUAGGGUGAAGCCAGAGGAAACUCUGGUGGAGGCUCGCAGCGGUUCUGACGUGCAAAUCGAUCGUCAAACAUGGGCAUGGGGGCGAAAGACUAAUCGAACCUUCUAGUAGCUGGUUUC